Molecule: ribosomal RNA, 499 nt
Filed under: uncultured bacterium
Lineage: Bacteria
Description: bacterial SSU rRNA
Rfam family: Bacterial small subunit ribosomal RNA
Source: RNAcentral
AGCGAACGUUUGCGGCGGGCUUAACACAUGCAAGUCGAACGAGAAUCCCUUCGGGGAGGAAAGUGGCGCACGGGUGCGUAACACGUGGAUGACCUACCCCUUGGUUCGGGACAACAGCGGGAAACUGCUGCUAAUACCGGAUGUGUCGUAGCAAUACGAGAAAGGCCCGCAAGGGUCGCCAGAGGACGGGUCCGCGUCCCAUCAGCUAGUUGGUGAGGUAAUGGCUCACCAAGGCGAAGACGGGUAGCUGGUCUGAGAGGAUGAUCAGCCACACUGGAACUGAGACACGGUCCAGACUCCUACGGGAGGCAGCAGUGGGGAAUAUUGCGCAAUGGGCGAAAGCCUGACGCAGCCACGCCGCGUGAGCGAUGAAGGUCUUCGGAUCGUAAAGCUCUGUGGGGGGAGAGAAGAAAGUCGGUGAAGAGCCGGCCCUGACGGUAUCCCCCUUAGCAAGCACCGGCUAACUCCGUGCCAGCAGCCGCGGUAAUACGGAGGGUGC